This 1928-nucleotide long non-coding RNA is filed under the name Callithrix jacchus (white-tufted-ear marmoset). RNAcentral describes it as "lncRNA (ENSCJAG00000070370.1)". Lineage: Eukaryota; Metazoa; Chordata; Mammalia; Primates; Cebidae. The record is from RNAcentral.
UCAGAGGCCAGGUGCAGUGGCUCACACCUGUAAUCCCAGCAUUUUGGGAGGCUGAGGCGGGCAGAUCACCUGAGGUCGGGAGUUCAAGAUCAGCCACACCAACAUAGAGAAAACCUGUCCUCUACUAAAAAUACAAAAGUAGCCAGGCGUGGUGGUGCAUGCCUGUAAUCCCAGCUACUUGGGAGGCUGAGACAGGAGAAUCACUUGAACCUGGCAGGUGGAGAUUGUGGUGAGUCAAGAUCGCACCAUUGCACUCCAGCCUGGGCAACAAGAGCAAAACUCCCUCUCAAACAAAACAAAACAAAACAAACGAAAAGAAAGAAAGAAAAUAAGGAGACAGAAGAGGAAGAAGUGAAAAGUUUCUAGAACUAAGUCUUGAAGAAAUUCAAGUUUAGUAUGAUAGAAGAAUGAGUGUGCAAGAAAUUAAGAAAGAAUAGCGUAAGAACCAUGAGAAGAACCAGGAAAGCUAUCAUAGAAUCCAAAAAAAGGAGGUUUUUUGGGAAGAGCAUAAGUUUAAAAAGCUAUAAAAAUUAAAAAAUUAAAAAUAAACAAGGAAAAUGAGAUCCAGAAAAAAACAACUGAGAUAAAUGAAUAUAAUUACUAAUUCAGUUAAAAUUUAUAGUGUUACAGAGGAUGAUGCUACAUUGUACUACAGAGGACAGAGUCAUGGGGACAUCAACAUCAAAACAAUCAUAAUAUAGAAGAGAUGGGUUCUUGCUACAUUGUUCAGGCUGCUGUGGAACUCCUGGGCUCAAGAGAUCCUCCCAACUCAGUCUCCAGAGUAGCUGGGACCAAAGCAAUGGUAAAGUGCCAAGAAGAAGCAAAGGAAUGGAAAGAGACUUGUCGGGGAGGACAAAGUUACAGUUACAUAGCAGAAGUAAGUAUUGGUGUACCAUUGAAUAGCAUGAUGGCUAGAGUUAACGACAAUGUAUCUUAUAUUUCAAAAUAGCUAGAAGAGAGGUUUUUUAAUGUUGUCAUCACAAAGAAAUGCUAAAUGUUUAAGGUGAUGAAUAUGCUAAUUGCCCUGAUUUAACAAUUAUAUACUUUAUAUAUGUAUUAAAAUGUCAUGUUGCACUCUAUAAAUAUAUAUAAUUAUUAUGUCAAUCUUGCACUCAAAAAAUUACCUAAGCUUUUUGUUUUUCUUAUGUUACUAAGACAAAGUAAUGUUUGAGAAAUAUAGAAGUCUAUUAGGCUAUUUUCCAUCAGAUAGUCACAUAUCCUUAGAGCCUUGAUACCUAAUAGACAUUUGUUUUUUUUCUCCAUGUAAAUAAAGCUUGAUUUAUUUGCUAAGUUUAUCCUGCUAAAACAAUCUCUAUGUGAAUUCUGUAAAACACAGAAAUGGUAAACUGAGAGUCUCAUGUUUGCAUGUAGUUUGGUAUUUUGGCAUAUGACUUGUAAUAUGAUUGGAACAUACAAGCAAUAUAUCAAAGUUCUUCGCAGAAGAAUGGUAGGGGGUAGAUUCUUGAACACAGAACCCAAAGAUUCAGCUCAAUGCACACUGGCAACUGAGAAACAACUGUACAGUAUAUGACACUGUAAAUUGCUGUUAAAGCAAUGUUUUUGGUCAACUUGAAAAAAAUUUGUGAGAAUUUUCUAAUGAUUACUUUUUUCUGUUACACACUGACAACAUUUUCAUAAACUAUUUACAAUUUUAAAUAAAAAUGGUAGAAACAAAUUGUUUUUUUCCAUAAUAAAAUUCACAAAAUAUUUUCUGUUGCUGAGUAUAAGUUGCUUGGUCAUAUCAAUUCACAAAUACCUUGAAAAUGAUCGUAUCUUUAUGUUUGCAUUUUUUGUUUUUAUGUUCACAGUUCAAAUGAAAGGUUUGAUUAUUCUUUAGUAAGUGAUACACUUGAAAUAGAGCUCAAGGAUCUGAACUGCUCACAAUUCAUGUACUUUAAAAAUAAAUUCCAAAUAAGCUAUUAUUGAUA